GCGCUCGUAGCUCAGUUGGAUAGAGUAUCAGAUUCCGAUUCUGAGGGUCGUAGGUUCGAGCCCUAUCGAGCGCG
Transfer RNA from Firmicutes bacterium M10-2, 74 nucleotides. It matches the Rfam family "tRNA". Rfam says of the family: Transfer RNA (tRNA) molecules are approximately 80 nucleotides in length. Their secondary structure includes four short double-helical elements and three loops (D, anti-codon, and T loops). Further hydrogen bonds mediate the characteristic L-shaped molecular structure. tRNAs have two regions of fundamental functional importance: the anti-codon, which is responsible for specific mRNA codon recognition, and the 3' end, to which the tRNAs corresponding amino acid is attached (by aminoacyl-tRNA synthetases). tRNAs cope with the degeneracy of the genetic code in two manners: having more than one tRNA (with a specific anti-codon) for a particular amino acid; and 'wobble' base-pairing, i.e. permitting non-standard base-pairing at the 3rd anti-codon position. Lineage: Bacteria; Bacillati; Bacillota. The record is from Rfam.